Molecule: long non-coding RNA, 744 nt
Filed under: Brassica napus (rape)
Lineage: Eukaryota; Viridiplantae; Streptophyta; Magnoliopsida; Brassicales; Brassicaceae
Description: long non-coding RNA (BNAP_LNC016205)
Source: RNAcentral
UAAACCAUAUAACUUGCAAAAAAUAAUUAUGGCGGUGAAUGUGAGAGAAAGCUAUGUAGAACAAACUGAUGGUUUGGGGGAACGACUUUGAUCAUUAGAUCAUAACUUGGAAUUAAGGCAAGGGCGAGCCUAGCCUCCUUUCUCUCUCUAAUUUUUUUUUCUUUAUAAGUUUCUCGCAAAGCAAAGCUAGAACAAGUUCUUCGGUUAGGUGACCAAUGGUUUGCUCCGUCGUUGUCGUCGGUAACUUCUCCCUUUUUCUCUUUUUUUUUUCUAUUGCUUGUAUCUCUUAUCCUUUUUCCCUUUCUUUGUGUUUUGCUUUGUGCAUCGUCGCCACCACCGUAGCGGCGAAACUAAACGGUGAGGAAGUGUUCAGCAGUUCCUUUGAUCAAGUGCGGUGGUGAUAGCUCACAUAUGGUGUCAGAUCUAGCUAUUGGAAGUAGGUUCUUCUCCUUCUUUAUUUUCUUGUCUCUUCUUUUCAGCGGGGGUGACCGUCUUGCAUGGUACAUGUCGUUGCUGGUAUCCAACAGUGUGCUCGUUUAGAUUUGUUGGCACGGUUUCCCGGAGGAUUCUUUGCUGCAUGCCGGAGACCGAAAGACUAUAUAAAACGGAGCUCAAAAGAAAAAGAAGAAGAUAUAGAAAAUGGAGAGGAAGGGUUCUCUAACGACACAAAUGGAGAGCCGAUGCCGGAGAGACAAGGAGAAAAAGGUGACGGUUUCAUCAAGUUAGAGAGAAAGGCUCUGUAAU